Numida meleagris (helmeted guineafowl) is the source of this 269-nucleotide long non-coding RNA. RefSeq lists it as uncharacterized. The transcript is spliced from 2 exons. NCBI's taxonomy places the organism in Eukaryota, Metazoa, Chordata, Aves, Galliformes, Numididae. The record is from RefSeq and is a predicted model, not a curated record.
AUAAUCUCUUUACAGGAAGUAGUCCGGGGUGCGACGGGUAACAUGCGGUUCACCUCUGCGCGGCGCUGGAUCAAACUGCAAACUGAAAAGCACACGUGUUAAUGAAAGCAUUCGGGUUGCAUUCAGAAAAAGAGAAAGAAGAAUGUCACCACAGCGUACAACAUCUUCCUAGUAAGCAAUAAACUAGUCCAUUAAAAAACAGCAAAAAUUCUCCACUGCAUUGUUAAAAAAUUAAAAUACCAAUUUUGAAUUACAGAAUUAAUCUUUAA